Molecule: ribosomal RNA, 481 nt
Filed under: uncultured bacterium
Lineage: Bacteria
Description: bacterial SSU rRNA
Rfam family: Bacterial small subunit ribosomal RNA
Source: RNAcentral
AGAGUUUGAUUCUGGCUCAGAACGAACGCUGCGGCAGGCUUAACACAUGCAAGUUGAGCGGGAUUGUUGAGUAGCUUGCUAUUAACAUGAGAGCAGCGCACUGGUGAGUAACACGUGGGAACAUACCUUUUGGUGGGGGACAACAGUUGGAAACGACUGCUAAUACCGCAUAAGCCCUAAGGGGGAAAGAUUUAUUGCCGAAAGAUUGGCCCGCGGAAGAUUAGGUAGUAGGUGGGGUAACGGCCUACCUAGCCGACGAUCUAUAGCUGGUCUGAGAGGACGAUCAGCCACAUUGGAACUGAGACACGGUCCAGACUCCUACGGGAGGCAGCAGUGAGGAAUAUUGGGCAAUGGAGGGAACUCUGACCCAGCCAAUGCCGCGUGAGUGAAGAAGGUUUUCGGAUUGUAAAACUCUUUCAGAUGGGAAGAUGAUGACGGUACCAUCAGAAGAAGCACCGGCUAACUUCGUGCCAGCCGCAGC